This is a long non-coding RNA of Gossypium arboreum, 593 nucleotides long. RefSeq lists it as uncharacterized. The record is from RefSeq and is a predicted model, not a curated record. NCBI's taxonomy places the organism in Eukaryota, Viridiplantae, Streptophyta, Magnoliopsida, Malvales, Malvaceae. The transcript is spliced from 3 exons.
GAAACAAAAAAAAUGGGUGUGGAUGCUCUUUUGCCGUGAGAAACAAAGAAGAAAAAGGGGAAGAAAAAUUUGUUGCUCAUCCUUGGGUGCCUUGGCCGAAUAGAAGAAAGGAAAUUGAAAAAAAAAAAAAUAUUGGCUCAUCUUCCUCCUAGCUUAGCCGAUCCUUCAAGAAGAAAAGGGAAGACUUAGCAUUCGGUCACUUGAGCUUGAACUAAGCUCAAGAGCAAAGGGAAACUAGAUUGGACAAAGGAAAGGAGAAAGCAAACGAGUAGCCGAUUUGGAACCAUUCUACCCCAAACAAGGUCUCUCGGACUCUUAUUGUUUGCGUGAUCGGGACCGUCGUUGAAGUCAUCACACCGCUGAAAUCUUGUGGUAUUGUUUUCGUUGUUGAAGAACAUUUGGCAUGUAUAGGCUAUUAUAUUUUGUCGAAUUGAGGGUUGUAAACUUUAAGCCAUGUGAAAAUGGCCUAUGUGGUCGUCGAGUGGGAUGCUAGAACUUAUAGCCACGAGUCUUAGAAACUUUAAUUUCGAUAAGGUGGCCAUAAUUUGUGUCAUGUAUGAUGGAUGAUUAAGGCCAAGGAAAGAUUCAUGAAA